RNAcentral lists this ribosomal RNA (497 nucleotides) under uncultured bacterium. RNAcentral's name for it is "partial 16S ribosomal RNA". It matches the Rfam family "Bacterial small subunit ribosomal RNA", at positions 28 to 507 of the family's 1533-position model. The record is from RNAcentral.
GAUGAACGCUGGCGGCGUGCCUAAUACAUGCAAGUCGAGCGAACGGACGAGAAGCUUGCUUCUCUGAUGUUAGCGGCGGACGGGUGAGUAACACGUGGAUAACCUACCUAUAAGACUGGGAUAACUUCGGGAAACCGGAGCUAAUCCCGGAUAAUAUUUUGAACCGCAUGGUUCAAAAGUGAAAGACGGUCUUGCUGUCACUUAUAGAUGGAUCCGCGCUGCAUUAGCUAGUUGGUAAGGUAACGGCUUACCAAGGCAACGAUGCAUAGCCGACCUGAGAGGGGGAUCGGCCACACUGGAACUGGGACACGGUCCAGACUCCUACGGGAGGCAGCAGUAGGGAAUCUUCCGCAAUGGGCGAAAGCCUGACGGAGCAACGCCGCGUGAGUGAUGAAGGUCUUCGGAUCGUAAAACUCUGUUAUUAGGGAAGAACAUAUGUGUAAGUAACUGUGCACAUCUUGACGGUACCUAAUCAGAAAGCCACGGCUAACUACGUG